This is a long non-coding RNA of Acanthochromis polyacanthus (spiny chromis), 3772 nucleotides long. RefSeq lists it as uncharacterized. The transcript has 3 exons. NCBI's taxonomy places the organism in Eukaryota, Metazoa, Chordata, Actinopteri, Pomacentridae. The record is from RefSeq and is a predicted model, not a curated record.
AGGCAUGGGGAACAAUAGAGAGAAGUGAGGAGAUUUCAGAUGGAACAAACCAGCGAGCCUCUGGUCAUAUUUGCUUCAAAUUUGAAGCAUUAAAGUAACCGUAGUGGCUGUGGAAUCCAGCUAGCUGGACAUGUGAUAUGUGGUGAAUAAGAAGCUGGGAUCCUGAUCCCAUGAGCAGGACUGGAUAAACCUCAUAAAAGCCCCUCUGCAGCUGCAUGGAUGUCUGGACCUUGUUUAACCAUAGUUGAGGAGUCACCAGGCCUUUAAAGACGCAGAUGUUCUCUCCUCCGUUGACCUGCUGGAGAACCUUCAGCUCAUCCUGGGUUGAACUCCGGUGACCUUGUCCCAGAUGAGCACAACAACAACGUCAGACAAAAAUGCAGCUGUGAUGCAAAAACUGUCUAUUUCCAAAAUGUCAACUUUUUCAAGAGGUAAGAAAAGCUGCAUGUCUAAAUCAGCAUAUUUGGAAAUCUAAGUUUUUUACUAAGCAAUGCAACAAAAAUUACACCUAAAGUAUGUGCUGUUGAGAAUAGGGAAAUACAAAUAAUACAAAUACUUUUUACAUUUAUACAUAUUACGCUCAUAACUUCCAUUACUUCCUUCCGUCACCAUUUAUUUUUGUGCGUAGAACCCACACAUUUCUAGCGAUAACAACAGCACUUGGGCUUUAGUACAUUAAGUGUCACAAUGGGACAUAAUGUGAAAGCACCCGUCCAGGAUCCGACCCCACUUCCAUGUACUGUGUCAGCGGAUGGCACUGGUGGCCCGUUCCAUCUGUGCAGAGCAGCAGGGGUGCCGGAGCUGAACCCGGCUGGAGACCAGCAGAGCCAUGUGGCAAGCUGGCACCUCCUUGACAGGAACAUGGAACAGGCCACGUCCUUGGAGCCCAGCUAAAAAAGAAAAUAAUGAAGCCCUUAAUGUAAUCUCACUUGUGUCACAUUUAUCAUUAGAUUUGUGGCUGGGAACAAAGAAGGAAUGUGCCGAUUCCAGAGCCUGAAAAAUUGACCAAAACUAUGUUAAUUUGGUGUUUAUGCUGCCUGCUGCCCUUCAGUGACACAGUAUUUAUAUAUUUGAUUUUAGAGAAAACAUUCAACCUUCUAAUACAACCCAUAUUAGCAUAGUGUCACAGAUGCAAUGCCUUUGAAAAUUAUUCAUCCCUCUUUGAAGUUUUUCACUUUUAUUGCUUUUCAUCAUUGAAUCAUGGUCAACUGGAUUUAUUUUUUGACAAGAACCCAUGUUAAAUCUUGACUAGAGUUUGUCAAAAGCCAUUUGGGAGAUGCUCAAGUCAACUGGAAGAAGGUUCUCACGUUCGGCCAUCAGAGUAGAUGUUAUGUUUGGUGUGCUACAGUGAAGCAUGGUGGUGGCAGGAUCAUUAUCUGGACUAUGGAUGCAGCAGCGGCAUAAUUUGAAGCAUGUUGUUGGCAGCAUCAUGAUGCAGAGAUACUUAUCUUGGUGGCAGGUCCUGGAAAGCUUGUAAAGAUAAAAGGCAAAUGCAGCAAAGUAGAAAAAAUCCUGGAGGAUAACUGGGAGAGUUUUUGUUUGUUUCAUUUUGUCUGCAAAUUCUUUUCAAAAAAGUCAUAUUAUAUUGACCACGAUUCGAUGUUGAAAGGCAAUAAAAGGGGAAAACUUGCAGGGGCGAUGAACAGUUUUUAGAGCCAUCACAAACUCUUCAACAUCGUUGAGGAAAAAAUAUUAGACGAUCCUGCAGUAGAAGUUUAGUUAUGUUAAGGUACAAAAACAAACCGGUUAGAUUUGACAAAAUGAGUUAAAAUAAGUAUUCUGUUAAAGUUGGACCAUUGUCAUCCACAUAGGGCCAGUGGUUUGUCCACCCAUGCAUACACCCCAAGCUCCUCUCUACGUUGAUUUUGCAGCACUAUAACAAAAACUAAAUCACACCAGUUCCUCUUUUCUUGCUUGAUAUAAACACAUUUUGUUUUGGUCAUUUGCAAAAACAAGUCCUACAGGAGGUUGCUUCACCAUAAAUUAAAACUAGAUUGUAACCAGCUGCUUACACAAACAAUCUAAAGGGCUUUUUUUUUUAAUGGAAGGACAAUCUCCCUUUACAGCAGGAGGGUUCUGGUUUUGACACUGAGUACAUGAAUAUUAAUACAGUUUGCAUAUUUGAUGUACUCCUCAAUUGCCUAUGUCUCAGUGCUAAUGUAUGUGAGAACUGUUCGUGUGCGAGGCUUAAGAAACUUCUUUUUCCAGCAUCUGCCUCCCAUAUUUCCUCAGACUAUUACAUGGUUUCAAGAGAAUAUGCGCCACAUAAUGUAUAAUAAUGAACUUAUUGUGUGAUUUUAUAGCGUCUAUUCACUAUUUAUAUUCCUUGCUUCUUGUGUUUUCCUCAACAUCUUCCCAGAACCACAUCUUUAUUCAUGUUUGGAGUCUGUCUAAGUCAUAUUGUUAUUCAGUUUCUCCUUUUUCUUUUGAUUUCUGUUUGCUCUUCACAUACAACACGGAUUUGGUCCAUCCUGGAAGAGAGAAUUUGGAAUUGGAAUAAAAUAUAUUUUGAGUGCAUAACCAGCAUUUUUGUCUUAUUUAUUGUGUUACAUUCUAAAUUUAACUCCAAAUUGUGAGUGGAAUUACAGUGGAAACUUUACACUAUACACUCGUGGGGGAUAACAGAUGGGUGAUUGUGUUACUACUCUGCAUUUGACCUUAGUUUUCCCGGAUACCUGAGAAAGCAGCAGUGUAACUUAUAAUCCAGUGACCUUUUAGACAACAAGACCACGAUAGGAGCGCAAAUUACAAGUGUACAAAGCAAGACUACAGGCUGAAUGAAUAAAUUAACCAGGCCUUAACAUGUAUUCCCUUUGAAAAAUAUGUUCCUUUUUGGAAUUCAUCCAGGAAUUGGAGCUCACAUGUCAGGGCUAAAAUCCAAACUGACUUGUACGCCAUGAGCCAGGUGAAUCAGAGUCACAUCCACUCGAGCUGUUUUUCUCUUCUGCCCGAUAGACUGUGAAGUGGAACCAUCAUGAAAUCCCUGCUGGAGUGUUGCAGACAUGAUAUUAGUGAGUCUGACAUGAAGGUGUGACUCUGCAGGUCUAUGCUCCAUUUAUCACACAGCAGGGUUCCCUCCAAUGGAAAUAUCUCCUGAGAGAAACUCUGGCUACUGAGGACAUAAUUAGCUGUUGUUCACUAGAGAACAAAAGCACAAAGAAAUAUCUUUUACUUUGCGUUUUGUUCUACCUGUUCUGUUCAAGAAGUAUUGAUACAGAAACUGAUGUGUGACUAUCAGCUGGUCUGUUGCAUCGUCUAACAUAAAACCAACCAUUGCCACUUUUUAGGAGAAGGAAAGGUAAGAAUGACUCAUUUAGAACCUUGCAAACAUAAAAGAAGACUGUUUUCAUCGAGCUGAAUCUCUGAUUGAUCUGUCGCACCAAAACAAGGAGCUGCUGCUAAUGUGUGGAGUUUAACCGGAGAUCCGUCUCACACAGAGUUAGACAUCCUGUUAGGAACUUCGUUAGAUCUCAGGGAACAUAAUAAUCUUGUUUAAAGUGAGUGAGAUACAGCAGUGAAAUCCAUUCUCUUCACUUGAACAAAACACCCCCGGGCCUGACAGUUGCAGUCAGAAAUAUGUGGAUUGGAGUUUGUGCAUCCAGAAAAGACACAGUUUUUACCAAAAAAAAAGACCGAAAUUCAAAUCACAGCUGCUUAGAUUCACAACCACCUCCUGGAAAGGACUCACUCAUGUGAUGCUUUUAAGAGAACUGCCCAAAAUAUCCACUUUUUCAUCUGAAUUUCUGCCGUUAUGUCUCAUAAAACAUAUAAA